GAUGAAGAACGCAGCGAAAUGCGAUAAGUAGUGUGAAUUGCAGAAUUCAGUGAAUCAUCGAAUCUUUGAACGCACAUUGCGCCCCUUGGUAUCCCGAGGGGCAUGCCUGUUCGAGCGACAUUUCACCACUCAAGCCUGGCUUGGUGUUGGGCGACGUCCCCUUUGGGGACGCGCCUCGAAACGCUCGGCGGCGUGGCACCGGCUUUAAGCGUAGCAGAAUCUUUCGCUUUGGAAGUCGGGGCCCCGUCUGCCGGAAGACCUACUCGCAAGGUUGACCUCGGAUCAGGCAGGGAUACCCGCUGAACUUAAGCAUAUCAAUAAGCGGAGGA
This 329-nucleotide unclassified non-coding RNA is filed under the name soil metagenome. Its description in RNAcentral is "partial contains 5.8S ribosomal RNA, internal transcribed spacer 2, and large subunit ribosomal RNA". The stretch from base 1 to 120 matches the Rfam family "5.8S ribosomal RNA", at positions 35 to 154 of the family's 154-position model. The record is from RNAcentral.